GACGAACGCUGGCGGCGUGCUUAACACAUGCAAGUCGAACGGAAAGGCCCUGCUUUUGUGGGGUGCUCGAGUGGCGAACGGGUGAGUAAAACGUGAGUAACCUGCCCUUGACUUUGGGAUAACUUCAGGAAACUGGGGCUAAUACCGGAUAGGAGCUACUGCUGCAUGGUGGGGGUUGGAAAGAUUCGGCGGUUGGGGAUGGACUCGCGGCUUAUGAGCUUGUUGGUGGGGUAGUGGCUUACCAAGGCUGUGACGGGUAGCCGGCAUGAGAGGGUGACCGGCCACAUUGGGACUGAGAGACGCCCCAGACGCCUACGUGAGGCAGCAGGGGGGAAUAUUGCACAAUGGGCGGAAGCCUGAUGCAGCAACGCCGCGUGCGUGAUGACGGCCUUCGAGUUAUAAACCGCUGUCUCCGGUGACGUAGCGUGAGUGACGGUAAUGGGUAAAGAAGCACCGGCUAACUACGUG
RNAcentral lists this ribosomal RNA (468 nucleotides) under uncultured bacterium. RNAcentral describes it as "partial 16S ribosomal RNA". It matches the Rfam family "Bacterial small subunit ribosomal RNA", at positions 28 to 507 of the family's 1533-position model. The record is from RNAcentral.